This 490-nucleotide ribosomal RNA is filed under the name uncultured bacterium. Its description in RNAcentral is "bacterial SSU rRNA". It matches the Rfam family "Bacterial small subunit ribosomal RNA", at positions 28 to 507 of the family's 1533-position model. The record is from RNAcentral.
GAUGAACGCUAGCUACAGGCUUAACACAUGCAAGUCGAGGGGCAGCAUGAACUUAGCUUGCUAAGUUUGAUGGCGACCGGCGCACGGGUGAGUAACACGUAUCCAACCUUCCGUUUACUCAGGGAUAGCCUUUCGAAAGAAAGAUUAAUACCUGAUAGUAUGGUGAGAUUGCAUGAUAGCACCAUUAAAGAUUUAUUGGUAAACGAUGGGGAUGCGUUCCAUUAGGCAGUUGGCGGGGUAACGGCCCACCAAACCGACGAUGGAUAGGGGUUCUGAGAGGAAGGUCCCCCACAUUGGUACUGAGACACGGACCAAACUCCUACGGGAGGCAGCAGUGAGGAAUAUUGGUCAAUGGCCGAGAGGCUGAACCAGCCAAGUCGCGUGAAGGAAGAAGGAUCUAUGGUUUGUAAACUUCUUUUAUAGGGGAAUAAAGUGGAGGACGUGUCCUUUUUUGUAUGUACCCUAUGAAUAAGCAUCGGCUAACUCCGUG